RNAcentral lists this ribosomal RNA (465 nucleotides) under Vreelandella stevensii. RNAcentral's name for it is "partial 16S ribosomal RNA". It matches the Rfam family "Bacterial small subunit ribosomal RNA", at positions 338 to 795 of the family's 1533-position model. Lineage: Bacteria; Pseudomonadati; Pseudomonadota; Gammaproteobacteria; Oceanospirillales; Halomonadaceae. The record is from RNAcentral.
CCUACGGGCGGCUGCAGUGGGGAAUAUUGGACAAUGGGCGAAAGCCUGAUCCAGCCAUGCCGCGUGUGUGAAGAAGGCCUUCGGGUUGUAAAGCACUUUCAGUGGGGAAGAAAGCCUUGGGGCUAAUACCCUCGAGGAAGGACAUCACCCCCAGAAGAAGCACCGGCUAACUCCGUGCCAGCAGCCGCGGUAAUACGGAGGGUGCGAGCGUUAAUCGGAAUUACUGGGCGUAAAGCGCGCGUAGGCGGUCUGAUAAGCCGGUUGUGAAAGCCCCGGGCUCAACCUGGGAACGGCAUCCGGAACUGUCAGGCUAGAGUGCAGGAGAGGAAGGUAGAAUUCCCGGUGUAGCGGUGAAAUGCGUAGAGAUCGGGAGGAAUACCAGUGGCGAAGGCGGCCUUCUGGACUGACACUGACGCUGAGGUGCGAAAGCGUGGGUAGCAAACAGGAUUAGAUACCCUAGUAGUC